GAUGAACGCUGGCGGCGUGCCUAAUACAUGCAAGUCGAGCGAACGGACGAGAAGCUUGCUUCUCUGAUGUUAGCGGCGGACGGGUGAGUAACACGUGGAUAACCUACCUAUAAGACUGGGAUAACUUCGGGAAACCGGAGCUAAUACCGGAUAAUAUUUUGAACCGCAUGGUUCAAAAGUGAAAGACGGUCUUGCUGUCACUUAUAGAUGGAUCCGCGCUGCAUUAGCUAGUUGGUAAGGUAACGGCUUACCAAGGCAACGAUGCGUAGCCGACCUGAGAGGGUGAUCGGCCACACUGGAACUGAGACACGGUCAAGACUCCUACGGGAGGCAGCAGUGGGGAAUAUUGGGCAAUGGGCGCAAGCCUGACGGAGCCAUGCCGCGUGAGUGAAGAAGGCCUUCGGAUUGUAAAACUCUGUUGUUAGGGAAGAAAAGAAGCAUAAGAAUCCGUGGACGUUUUGACGGUACCUAAACAAUAAGCACCGGCUAACUUCGUG
Molecule: ribosomal RNA, 497 nt
Filed under: uncultured bacterium
Lineage: Bacteria
Description: partial 16S ribosomal RNA
Rfam family: Bacterial small subunit ribosomal RNA
Source: RNAcentral